Molecule: ribosomal RNA, 182 nt
Filed under: marine snow associated bacterium Adriatic78
Lineage: Bacteria
Description: partial 16S ribosomal RNA
Rfam family: Bacterial small subunit ribosomal RNA
Source: RNAcentral
GGCUUACGGGUAGCUGGUCUGAGAGGAUGGUCAGCCACACUGGGACUGAGACACUGCCCAGACUCCUACGGGAGGCUGCAGUCGAGAAUCAUUGUCAAUGCACGAAAGUGUGAACAUGCGACGCCGCGUGGAGGAAGACGGCCUUUGGGUUGUAAACUCCUGUCAGCAGGGAAGAAAGAUGG